GCCGGGGAGCCUGAAGUUAGAGGCAGAAAGAGACAGGUCAGGGAGACACAGUGACACUUUGUCCUCUUGACAGUUUGGGCUGCUCUGGACACCUAUCCCAGACGUCAGGCUCCAUGGUCCUUUCGCUUUCCCUCUGGGCCUGGCCCCACUGACUCCCCACCCUGCUUGUGGCCCACCCAGGGACGCUGUCCAAGGAAGGGACCAUCACCCAAGUGGGGCAGUGCAGGGCCGCAUGGAGUCUGCUGUGCAGCGUGGAUGGUUUGGUCACCGUUAACAAUGGUGCCAGAUGGGCCUGGCAGCUGGCAGGUGUCCCAGCCAGGAGCUGGCCCAGGAAGCCAUACUGCCAGGGAGUUCAGGCUCAUGCCCAUUCAUCUAACAGAUAGAUAGCCAGGACCUACUAUGCUCUGGGCUGGGCUCGGUGCUGGAGGUACAGAGAGAAGAAUGUGGGCACCACCCUGCCCUGCAGAGCUCGAUAUGGGGUGGGGGAAGAGGCGUAACUAAUCCAAGGAGGACGUGUGUGAGCACAUACGGCAUCACUUGUCUCCAGCGUGGUGCUGCUAGGAUGCUCACUUCACAGCUGGGAAAACUGAGGUUCAGAGAUGAUAAGCCCCUUGUCCGAUGUCUCAGCAUCAGUAAACGGCAGAGCCAAGGUUUGAACCCAGGUCUGCACACUGCAGAGCCCUUACCUGGUUUGAGUAGGCAGAAGAGGGCGUGGGAGAGCCUUCUAGCCAAGGGGCCAAGCUUGAGGGAAGCCCCAGGGGCUGUUCUGUCCCUUGUCCAGAGCCCGCUGUGUCUGCUGCUGUCCCCUGUCCCACCUACCCUCUUGGGGGCUGAAGGAAACAGACAAAAUUGCACCCACCUUGCAAAUAAGGCCCUGCAGCAUUUUUAAGGACUUGCUGAGGACCCCAGAGCUCAGUCUCCCUGAGUCCUGGUAAAACCAGAAGUGACAGUUUGCACAGCUGCACAGGUCCCCAGCUAAAGAGCUAAAAGGCAGGGUUCGGUUUGGGAGUGCACCUGAUAAGGGGUGCCCUGCCCUCGUAUUGUCACUCCCCUGGCCCCUCGCACAGGUUGGGGGCUGUGCCUGUCUGACCCUCCAGUGUUCCAUUGCAGCUUUAGCCUCACACAUUCCUCCCUCCUAAUAGAGGUUUAUUAGGACACCCCGUCAUAGAACUACCCCUGCUUCCUUGAACCUUCCCCAGAGGACCUGACACAAGCCCAAAUCCUCUAGGUCCUUUCUAACACCCUGUUCCUGAAACACCCCGCGGCUCUCUGUAUUGUGUGCUCUCUCGUUGCAACAGGACAGUCGAUCCGACUUUGCUCAACUACGGGCGUGGGUGUGUUCUUAGAGGUCUUUAGCUGGAGAUCACUGUAAAUUGGAGACCCAAAAAUGUCCCCCUGAACAAAGCGUUUGCCUUAACUAAAUGUAGCACUGCAGGGAGGGGAGCAGGACCUGGUCCCUAGCACAGCAGGAAACAGCCUUAGAGGGAACUGAGAGGGAAACAGCCCAAGGAAGCGGCUUCCAGAACUAUAGCCCUUGCCCCUAGGAGACCCGCUUGCUGGUGAGAGGAGGGAUGGAUGAUGGAGGCAGAGGCUGGAGGUGGGCUGGGGGCAGGAGGUGUCACGCCACUUUUCACUGGCUUUAAUCUUAACUUUGCAUGUUUUAAUGUGAAAUGUAAUUACAGAUCUAAAUUCUGCUGGUGAGCUCAUCAGGGCUGACUGAUCAAUUAGACUUAAAAGUGUUUGGGUCUCAAAGAUCUCUGACCCUGGUGUGUCGUCUCAAAGCCCUGAGAAAUCCCUGUCCUGCUGAUUUGCUCUCUUGGGGAGCUGUAGGGUUAGGAGAACCCUUAGGCAGCCUGAAGACCCAUACCUACCUCUGAGGCCCCCACCCUUUUGAAAUCUGCGAGGGAUUUGGCCCAGGAAUUCAGAAACGUCAAAUACACAUUAUUUAUUGCAUUACCUCCGUAGGAAGCCAUGGCAGAUAUCACUAAUGGAUUACCAAACUCCUUCCUGCUGCAUCGGAUCCAGCUUCAGGCUCCUUACCACAGCCCUUUAGGCAGCCACUACCAAUCAGUUGGAAUUGGCAUUUCUUGCCCAUCCCUGGGAUAAGCCCUGUCUCAGCAGAACAGAGUUGGACAAGGAAGCUGGAUUCUGAUCUAGGAAACCCGGGUUGAGUGCUGGUUUUUCCACUUGCUGCCUACGGCACAUAGGAUUCAUUACUCUACCCGAUGGGGCGCCAGUUUGUCCAGGUAAAGUUAGGGUGAUAAUCCAGAACAAAAAUCCACAUAAAAUAAUUAAAUGUGAAAGUCCACUGUCUACUCUCAAAUUCUGUACAAGUUAAAGAUGCAGCAGCCAACGAGGGACAAAGAAGAAUGCCAGCAUCCUCAACAUCCUGUGAAAAGCUGGUGUGAUUACCCGCCGGGGGCACUUUAGUGGGGCUGCGAUCAUUUUUCUUCCCUCAGCUGUUGUCCUAGAAUGGAAGCCAAGCGUCCACAUUCAGGCUGCACAGGGGCUGCACUCCAAACAGCCAGCUGUCUCCAAUAGAACGAACGCAGGGCACACUCACCAGCCUUCUAGUUUUUGGAGGGGCCCCGUGGCUUUGGCUGCUGGUGGGCGCCCUCCCCUUGGGCUGUUCUCUUGGCUCCAAACAUCCCAAGGGAGGUAGAUGAUUUUUUAUAGGCAGGGAAAGCAGUUGUCAAGUUUCUUUACACUUUUUCAAUCAUGUUUAUUAUACAAGUACGCCUCUGUCAAAUCUAACCCAAAUAUGUUGUAAAAAAAAAAUUAGGAAAUCCAAACAAAAAUGUAAGUAGAAACCACCCAGUAAUCCCACGAUUUAGAGAUAAGCAUUAUUAACAUAUAGAAUGAAUCCUUGCAUCUUUUUUCUAUGGUAUAUUUACACUCAUGUUUCUUUUACAGGAUUUGGAUCAUUCUAUACCUACCAUUUUAUAAUUUGGGUUUUUUUUCCCCACUUAAUAGAUUGUGAACACUUUUGCCUAGUAAUAAAUAUAUAGGCACCAUCAUUUUCAGUAGCUUUAUGAUAUUUCCUACAGUCCCUUAUUGUUAAAUAUUUCUUCUUUAAUAAUAAGCUCCCUAUUGUUGGACAUUUGUUUCCAGUUUUUCUCUGUAAUGAGCAGCAUGCACUGAAAAGAAAAAAAACAACCCUAUGACUCCACUGAUGAAUCUAUUUCCUUCCGAGAAAUUCUCAGACACGGAAUUGCUGGGUCAGAAGGACGCACAUUUCCAGGACUUGGAUAGGCAUUGCCAGAUUGCCCUCCUGAGAGGUCGUACCUAACUCCACCCACCACAGUGGAGUCAACGUUUCUCUCUCCCCGCUGACACCUGCAGGUGGAGAUCCACAGGCUUAGAACUGGCUCCAGCUGCCAGUCCUGCAGCCGGACCCCUGAGGGCUGCAGGAAUCAAGUUCCUCCCCUUCCAUGCCCCAUCCCAAAGCGCCUGAGAGAGCCCGUCUGCCAGCUCCUACGGAGUUAACAGAUGUACACACGUCUGAGGCAGUCAUGCGGCAAGAGACUUUGGGGCCAAUCCUUCCCGUUUUGACAGUGUGUAAUCGAGGUGAAGCCAUAAAUUUUAUAAACAAGAAUAAACGACCCUCAGCAACAUAUGUCUGCUCGACCCUUUCCAAGGUGAUCGUAAAUAAAGGCACCUGCUCACUGGGGAGGGACGUGGGCACUGCAGAUGGCCAAAGACAAGGGCCAAGGGUUUGUGCCUUGGGAGCAGCUGGUGCGGGGAGGACCCCCAGGUCCUGGGUCAGCUGGACGCCUUUCUGCCAUUUAUUCAAUCCCUUCCCCAGGCUGCCUUUGCCCUGGUGCACGCUGAGCGGGCCUGCUGCUCACCCUUCCUCAGAGAGGUAGCUUGUAGGGGGCUUCUCCCGGGUUUAGGUCCCCUCGUCUCCUCCUCUGCCCCAGUUAUUUGUCAAUCAUGUCCUCUGUCCCAAGAGGGCACCUUGUGGGAAUCCGAAGACCAGGUUCUGCUGCUGCCCGCAGGGAGUCCUCGGGCACUGAUCCCUUUUGGCUCUCGCUGUUCUGUGACCGGGUCACCCUCCCUUUCACUUCGGCCUGUUGCUCCUGGAGCCACAUCCCCCUGGGCUGGCCUGGCCCAGGACCCUCUGGAGGCCCCCAUCUCCCACCGGCUCGGGAAGUCUUAACAAACCAGAGGUGCUACUCCCGGUCCUGUGCGCUCCACCUGGGCCUGAGCUAUUUGAAAGUGCUUUGAAAAAGGAUAAAACCUGAUUCAAAAGUAGCUACAUUUUAUUUUUGUUGAGCUGCUGCCGUGUGCCAGGCCCAUGGACAUAUUUCCUGAACCCUUGGAAGUUGGUAUCAUUGUCCCCAAAAAUAAAAGCUGAAGAUUGAGGUUCAGAGUGGUUACAGAUGCCCUCACGGUGACUCAGCUAGGAAGUGACAGAGCUGGAACUUGAUUUCAAAUAAUAAUAAUCAAAACAAUAAUAGCUAACAUGAGACGGGGGAGCAUGCUAAGCCUUUUAAACAUUGCCUCGUUAAACUCUCCCAGUGGUCCUGUGGGGGGGAUAUGAUUUUCAUUCCCAUUUUACAGUUGAAGAAGCAAGUCCAAGGAAGACGGAACGACUUGCCCAGAGUCGUGAUGCUAGGAAGUAACAGAGCUGGUCUUGGACCCAAGUCUGCCUGAAGCUGACACCCAUGCCGAGCGUUUGACUGUUCUCGCACCACAAGCCUGGGGCUCCGCAGAGCCAGCAAUGAGGCCGCUGGAGCAGGCAGCCCUGUGCACGGACUCACUCCUGAAAUGUUUCACUACGGUGGGAGAGGAUGCACAGAGCCUUCAUCAGGAGUUUGUGAAUCUGUGGAGUGGGAGAGCACCGGGACACCCCCAAAGUUCCUGGGUGUCCCCCAACCUUCCAAAUCCCGGUGUCCCCAACCAGCUCAUCUCCUGCCUCUGCUUGCACCCAAGCAUUGUCUUCCACGAUGGACUCCAGAGAAGAAAAGUGACAGGUCAAGGCAAAUGAACACUGCACCCUGGCUGGGCUGCAAAGGGGGCCUCAGUCCUCUCCCUAAGCAAGCUCCCACAUGGCUAUGUAAGGUACAGCAGAGGAGCGAAAGUUUCAAACUGACCCGUCCCCUGGGCGAGCCCUUCCCCAGCAGGCCGCCUCAGUUCUUCCCAGGCCGAGUGCCCACCAUGCACCAGACCUGGCGCCAACUGCUGGCCGGGGCCACUUCCUGGAGGGUUUUCACUUUCACUCACGGUCACCUGCACCUCAGCCACUUUGCCCAAGUCCAGGAACAAAAAGGACCCAGAAGGGACGAGAUAAUGAUGUUCCUCCAACAAAAUGAGCAGGAUGUCCGUCCCUUGAUGGAGGAAGGCUCCCCUUUAGAGAAGAUUCUCCGGGCUGCACCCUCGCCACACAUGUACUUCAGUCCAAGUGUUUCCGAGGCCUCGCCUGUCAGUCUGCAGCCGUCCUUCCCCCUUGAUGAGUGGCUCAGAGGUGACUAAACUCCAAAUCCUGUCUGCCUUACUCUUUAUAAAUGUGACAUUUUAAAGCCCCUUUGGCACAGGUAAAUCACAAUUACAUUUCCAAGGGCCUCUGGUACCAUUCCAAAUGAGCUGCCAGUGGAGGGCAUCUGUCUCUUUCUCUCUCUCUCUCUCUCUCUCUCACACACACACACCCACACA
This is a long non-coding RNA of Globicephala melas (long-finned pilot whale), 5655 nucleotides long. RefSeq lists it as uncharacterized. Lineage: Eukaryota; Metazoa; Chordata; Mammalia; Artiodactyla; Delphinidae. The record is from RefSeq and is a predicted model, not a curated record.